GGUGGUAGGCCCACCGAGAUCGAUCACCAGCGGUAGAUCUCAAACCACCUCAUGCGGCGGCUGUUAAGAGCAGUGGUCGUGAGUGAUGAGGAACGUCAGACAAUGAUCUGGCAAGG
Molecule: non-coding RNA, 116 nt
Filed under: Legionella israelensis DSM 19235
Lineage: Bacteria; Pseudomonadati; Pseudomonadota; Gammaproteobacteria; Legionellales; Legionellaceae
Source: RNAcentral